GACGAACGCUGGCGGCGUGCUUAACACAUGCAAGUCGAACGGAAAGGCCCUGCUUUUGUGGGGUGCUCGAGUGGCGAACGGGUGAGUAACACGUGAGUAACCUGCCCUUGACUUUGGGAUAACUUCAGGAAACUGGGGCUAAUACCGGAUAGGAGCUCCUGCUGCAUGGUGGGGGUUGGAAAGUUUCGGCGGUUGGGGAUGGACUCGCGGCUUAUCAGCUUGUUGGUGGGGUAGUGGCUUACCAAGGCUUUGACGGGUAGCCGGCCUGAGAGGGUGACCGGCCACAUUGGGACUGAGAUACGGCCCAGACUCCUACGGGAGGCAGCAGUGGGGAAUAUUGCACAAUGGGCGGAAGCCUGAUGCAGCAACGCCGCGUGCGGGAUGACGGCCUUCGGGUUGUAAACCGCUUUCGCCUGUGACGAAGCGUGAGUGACGGUAAUGGGUAAAGAAGCACCGGCUAACUACGUGCCAGCAGCCGCGGUGAUACGUAGGGUGCGAGCGUUGUCCGGAUUUAUUGGGCGUAAAGGGCUCGUAGGUGGUUGAUCGCGUCGGAAGUGUAAUCUUGGGGCUUAACCCUGAGCGUGCUUUCGAUACGGGUUGACUUGAGGAAGGUAGGGGAGAAUGGAAUUCCUGGUGGAGCGGUGGAAUGCGCAGAUAUCAGGAGGAACACCAGUGGCGAAGGCGGUUCUCUGGGCCUUUCCUGACGCUGAGGAGCGAGAGCGUGGGGAGCGAACAGGCUUAGAUACCCUGGUAGUCCACGCUGUAAACGGUGGGUACUAGGUGUGGGGUCCAUUCCACGGGUUCCGUGCCGUAGCUAACGCUUUAAGUACCCCGCCUGGGGAGUACGGCCGCAAGGCUAAAACUCAAAGGAAUUGACGGGGCCCCGCACAAGCGGCGGAGCAUGCGGAUUAAUUCGAUGCAACGCGUAGAACCUUACCUGGGUUUGACAUGGAUCGGGAGUGCUCAGAGAUGGGUGUGCCUCUUUUGGGGUCGGUUCACAGGUGGUGCAUGGCUGUCGUCAGCUCGUGUCGUGAGAUGUUGGGUUAAGUCCCGCAACGAGCGCAACCCUUGUUCACUGUUGCCAGCACGUUAUGGUGGGGACUCAGUGGAGACCGCCGGGGUCAACUCGGAGGAAGGUGGGGAUGACGUCAAGUCAUCAUGCCCCUUAUGUCCAGGGCUUCACGCAUGCUACAAUGGCUGGUACAGAGAGUGGCGAGCCUGUGAGGGUGAGCGAAUCUCGGAAAGCCGGUCUCAGUUCGGAUUGGGGUCUGCAACUCGACCUCAUGAAGUCGGAGUCGCUAGUAAUCGCAGAUCAGCAACGCUGCGGUGAAUAAGUUCCCGGG
This 1343-nucleotide ribosomal RNA is filed under the name uncultured bacterium. RNAcentral's name for it is "16S ribosomal RNA". It matches the Rfam family "Bacterial small subunit ribosomal RNA", at positions 28 to 1378 of the family's 1533-position model. The record is from RNAcentral.